Molecule: ribosomal RNA, 436 nt
Filed under: uncultured bacterium
Lineage: Bacteria
Description: partial 16S ribosomal RNA
Rfam family: Bacterial small subunit ribosomal RNA
Source: RNAcentral
AACGAACGCUGGCGGCAUGCCUAACACAUGCAAGUCGAACGAGAUCCUUCGGGGUCUAGUGGCGCACGGGUGCGUAACGCGUGGGAAUCUGCCCUUAGGUUCGGAAUAACAGUUAGAAAUGACUGCUAAUACCGGAUGAUGACGUUAAGUCCAAAGAUUUAUCGCCUGAGGAUGAGCCCGCGUAGGAUUAGCUAGUUGGUGUGGUAAAGGCGCACCAAGGCGACGAUCCUUAGCUGGUCUGAGAGGAUGAUCAGCCACACUGGGACUGAGACACGGCCCAGACUCCUACGGGAGGCAGCAGUGGUGAAUAUUGGACAAUGGGCGCAAGCCUGAUCCAGCAAUGCCGCGUGAGUGAUGAAGGCCUUAGGGUUGUAAAGCUCUUUUACCCGAGAUGAUAAUGACAGUAUCGGGAGAAUAAGCCCCGGCUAACUCCGUG